UUCGGCUUAGUCAAUCGUGAUUAAACUUCACGGCUAUCAA
This 40-nucleotide transfer RNA is filed under the name Chelonoidis duncanensis (Duncan Island giant tortoise). RNAcentral describes it as "partial tRNA-Arg". The record is from RNAcentral. Lineage: Eukaryota; Metazoa; Chordata; Testudines; Testudinidae.